Molecule: non-coding RNA, 154 nt
Organism: Vicugna pacos (alpaca)
Lineage: Eukaryota; Metazoa; Chordata; Mammalia; Artiodactyla; Camelidae
Source: RefSeq, a predicted model, not a curated record
GGGGGCUUGUGACUGGGAUGGGGCUCAGGGAAAGUCUGAGAAGGCUGGGAAAGUUCCAUUUCUUGACCUGGGUGGUGGUUACAGAAUGUUCACUUUGUAAUAAAUCCCUUAACUCAAUUCACUGAACAGUUUUCACUUCCCUGAAUUCACUAAA